AGUACAUUUUUAAAACAAGCACCAUAGCAUUUGUCUACAAAAUUAAGACGCUUCCCCUUUUUAUGAUUUAAAAUUCCAAAUUAAAGCAAAAAGGAAGAAAAAAAUUUGACUAAUCACGUGAAAACUACAUAACCAAAACAAACAAAUAACUCUUGUACCACUCCCCUAAGUUGGUUCAUGUCUGGUUUUGUGUCCCCACCAAAGUGCCGGUAUCGGUUACACGCGAAAGCCGAGCAAUGGCAAAGGAAAUGUUCCAACGUCUCAUCAUCUUCUCCGCAUGCCCUACACAUGCUAUCACUUGCCGCACCCAAUUUACAUAAUAUUAGCCACGUCUUCUCACGAUCUGGAUCGCCGCAUAGGAUUUUCGCCGCCCUACCGACCGUUUCGCUGUUCCACAAUGUUGCAUGCGCAUUCGUCGCACACUCCCUUAACUCGGACUGCGUCGACGCCAAAGGCUUCGGGUUAACCAAGUUUGUCCUCUAGCCUUUACCGCCAAAUCGUCUGCUCUUUCAUUUUCCCUUAAUCCAUUUUGGCCCGGCAACCAAACGAUGCGGAUUUUGCCAUCCUCAGAGAACGCGUUAAUCUCCUACUUACACUGCAAGACUGUUCUUGACCUUACCGUCCUGGUUGUUAUUGCCCUUAUGGCAAUUUUACUGUCGGUAAAGAUGUCACACUCGACAUCCUCGCGUUAAUACCACACCACUUCGCGCAUUCCCUGAUCGUCCGGAUCUCCGCCUGCAGGACCGUAUUAUGGUCAGGCAGUCUAAAACAGAUCUUAGUCCCUGGGUUCUCAAUGUAAACCCCAGGCCCAUUCUGUCCUUUAACUUUGAUCCAUCCAUGUAACAUGAUCUUCCAGAUGGCAAUACAAGGGUUCUGUCAGUUGAAGACUGUGCCACUGGCAGCAGUGCCACGCACUCGACCUCAAGUGUCGUCUCAGGUAUCCGAUCGGAAACUUCUUCCUUUCAUUCCAGGUUUCCUAUCGUCGCCUUGAUUAUACCGCGAUGGUAUGAGCUUCACCCAUCCUCAUCACCUUAUGUCUCAUAGCCGCAGUGGCUGCCUCACAUUUAAUCUGUAAGUCUAUGGGUCGGAUAUCUAGAAUAGUCUCCAGUGCCGUAGUGGGCGUGGUCCUCAUAGCUCCGUCUAUGUCAAGACAACAUGUUCUCUGAACCUGUUGUAUGGUCCUUAUGUUGCACUUUUUCUCCAUAGCAGUCCACCAAACUACUGAGGCGUAAGUAAGUAUUGGUCUAAUCACGCUCCUGUAGAGCCAGUGGACUAUCCUCGGAUUCAGGCCCCAUUUCGAAAGCCGUAGCUAUAAUACUUCUAAGUUUGUAAUACUAAUAAGUUUUUUGUUUUUACUAACAUAUUUAAAUGCAAUCAAUUUAAUUUUAUUGCCGCAAUUAAUCGACUGAAGUAGAACAAGUACAAGCGUGUUAAGCUUGGCCGGGCCGAAUCUUGGGCAUCCACCACCAGGAUUUUGCUAUAAAUUUAUAUUUUACAUACCAAACUACAGUCAAAUCAGCAAAAAUUAAAAUUCUUGGAACUAUAAAACGAUAAUCGUGAGAUCGGUUUACAUGGGAGCUAUAUCAGGUAAAAGACUGAUUUGGACCGUAUUUGGCACAGUUAUUGGAAGUCGUAACAAAACACCACAAAUUUCAGCCAUAUCGGACAAAAACUAUGGCUUGUAAGGCCUCAAGAAGUUAAAUCGGGAGAUCGGUUUAUAUGGUAGCUACUAGCUGAACCGGGCCCGCUUCACUGCACCUUUUUUUAACUUUAUAUGGAACAAAAUUAUCCAUUGAAUAUUUAUUUUCGACAAUUCAAGAACUUAAGUGAGUACCACACAAUGAAAAUAGUAAAUGUAUAUCGCUUGACUAACAGUAGAACAAUAUAAAUGACUAUCAAAUCCCAUAUGAUCUUUGUUGGUCUAUGAAUUCGCUCGAAGUGUUUUAGUUUGGAUGUUAGAUGUAUUCCACUCUUAAAAGAUUUUAUUUGAGCCCGCUAUUAUCACGAUGUCCGAUUUGAGGGUAUUUUUUUGGGGGGUGAGGUGGUCCCCCAUGCACUUAGCUCUGAAAACAAAUAUAUAAGCAUCGUGCUCUAUUUAAACCUCAUGUUGCCAUAGGAUUAAGGGAAGUUUAUGGGAUGAGACGUCUCCAAACACUUAGUCGAAAAAUUGGUUAUCAAUUUCGUUUUCUAAUAUCCAGUAUCUUAUAUUUGAGACACAUAUGGCCAUGGUCGGUAAAUUUUUAAUCUUUUGGGAGGGUGUUGUGGGGAAGGGGCGGUGCCCCAAAUACAUGGUCCCACAUUUGGAUAUCAGAUUCGUAUUCUACUCCCAAAUACGUUUGUUUUAGCCCCAUAUUGCGAUGGUCAUUAAAUAAUUGCUGUUUGAUUGUGUUUUGGGAAAGGGGUAAAACCCCAGAAAAUUGGUCCCGAAAGUGAGUAUCAAUUUCGUGCUCUACUCCCCAAUACCUUUCAAUAGAGCCCCACAUUGGUCGGUAUAUAUGUCUGAUUUAGAGGGCGGAGUGGUCCGCCAAACACUUAGCCUAGAAAAUAAAUCAGCAACGUGCUCUUCUUUCAUAUAUCAUUAUGCUUUUCUUUUAAAUAUCAUUUAUUUGAACCCCAUAUUGCCAUUGGCCUCAAAAUUGGCUAUCAUAGUCGUUUUCUAAUCUCAAAUACUUUUCCUUCCUGUCCGGUUUGGGGUAUAGGCCCUAAAAACUUUAAGAUCCAAAUUGUCAUGGUGAGCAAAUGAGUCCUAUUUGCGGAUUGUUAUGGGGGGGACGUCCCUUAGAUAGCUGGUCCCGAAUGUUUAAAUCAUAUUCAUGGUCUACUUCCAAAUACUUUUCAUUUGAGCCCCAUAUUUCCAUAGUCGGCAAACAUGUCCGGUUUGGAGGGUGUUUUGGGGGAUGGGGUGGCUCUGAAAAUAUAUCUCAGAUUCGUGUUAUACUAUAAAAUACCUCUUAUUUAAGCCCCAUAUUGCAAUGGUCAGCAAAUACGUCCUAUUUGGGUGGUGUUAUGGGGGUGGGGUGGCCCCAUAGACACUUUUCCCAAAUGUUUAUAUCAGAUUCGUGCUUUACUCCCAAAGACCUUUCAUUUGCGACCCAUAUUGUUAUGGUCGUAAAUUUGUCGUCUUGGGGGGUGUCCAACCCUGGUGGGGUGGCCCCAUAGACACUUUUCCCAAAUGUUUAUAUCAGAUUCG
Molecule: long non-coding RNA, 3190 nt
Organism: Stomoxys calcitrans (stable fly)
Lineage: Eukaryota; Metazoa; Arthropoda; Insecta; Diptera; Muscidae
Exons: 3
Source: RefSeq, a predicted model, not a curated record